UACGUAGGGGGCAAGCGUUGUCCGGAUUUAUUGGGCGUAAAGAGCGUGUAGGCGGCUUUGCAAGUCCGUUGUGAAAACUCGAGGCUCAACCUCGAGACGCCGGUGGAAACUGCAAAGCUAGAGUCCGGAAGAGGAGAGUGGAAUUCCUGGUGUAGCGGUGAAAUGCGCAGAUAUCAGGAAGAACACCCGUGGCUAAGGCGGCUCUCUAGUACGGUACUGACGCUGAGACGCGAAAGCGUGGGGAGCGAACAGG
Molecule: ribosomal RNA, 253 nt
Filed under: uncultured bacterium
Lineage: Bacteria
Description: partial 16S ribosomal RNA
Rfam family: Bacterial small subunit ribosomal RNA
Source: RNAcentral